RNAcentral lists this ribosomal RNA (501 nucleotides) under uncultured Desulfobulbus sp. RNAcentral describes it as "bacterial SSU rRNA". It matches the Rfam family "Bacterial small subunit ribosomal RNA", at positions 903 to 1382 of the family's 1533-position model. The record is from RNAcentral. Lineage: Bacteria; Pseudomonadati; Thermodesulfobacteriota; Desulfobulbia; Desulfobulbales; Desulfobulbaceae.
GCCCGCUCAGAAACUACAAAGGAAGUUGACGGGGCCCGCACAAGCGGUGGAGCAUGUGGUUAAUUCGAAGCAACGCGAAGAACCUUACCUGGUCUUGACAUCCCGGAGACCCUUAGGAAACUAGGGGGUGCUUCCAUCUGGAAGAAUCUGGAGACAGGUGCUGCAUGGCUGUCGUCAGCUCGUGUCGUGAGAUGUUGGGUUAAGUCCCGCAACGAGCGCAACCCUUGCCUUUAGUUGCCAGCAGUUCGGCUGGGCACUCUAAAGGGACUGCCGGUGUUAAACCGGAGGAAGGUGGGGAUGACGUCAAGUCCUCAUGGCCUUUAUGACCAGGGCUACACACGUACUACAAUGGCCGAUACAAAGGGCAGCGACACUGCGAGGUGAAGCCAAUCCCGUAAAAUCGGUCUCAGUCCGGAUUGGAGUCUGCAACUCGACUCCAUGAAGUUGGAAUCGCUAGUAAUCGUGGAUCAGCAUGCCACGGUGAAUACGUUCCCGGGCCUU